This is a transfer RNA of Brassica oleracea var. oleracea, 72 nucleotides long. It matches the Rfam family "tRNA". Rfam says of the family: Transfer RNA (tRNA) molecules are approximately 80 nucleotides in length. Their secondary structure includes four short double-helical elements and three loops (D, anti-codon, and T loops). The record is from Rfam. NCBI's taxonomy places the organism in Eukaryota, Viridiplantae, Streptophyta, Magnoliopsida, Brassicales, Brassicaceae.
GCCCGUAUAGCUCAGUGGUAGAGCGUCAGUCUUGUAAACUGAAGGUCCGUAAUUCGAUCCUGCGUGUGGGCA